GGCAGGGGGUGCAAAGCCCCGCCUGGGAGGAGAAUCAAAAGGCCUGUGUUUUGUUUCCUUUUGUUUUGUUCGAAGGCCCGAAACUUCCUAAUUUCCUUUCUACCACUCCCUCCUCCUCCACUGCCUCCUCCAAGGCUGCUCCCAAGUCACACCUAAAACCAACGUGGAGAGCAAUUAAACACACACCAAAAAACCCUCAACCCAUACGCGGUGGCGCUCUGAAUCGGCUGCCUAAAGAGGAGGGAAGGCCGCAUCCUAAAAUCAUUUGGAGGGACUAG
Molecule: long non-coding RNA, 278 nt
Filed under: Sus scrofa (pig)
Lineage: Eukaryota; Metazoa; Chordata; Mammalia; Artiodactyla; Suidae
Description: lncRNA (ENSSSCG00005025216.1)
Source: RNAcentral